This is a long non-coding RNA of Acanthopagrus latus (yellowfin seabream), 825 nucleotides long. RefSeq lists it as uncharacterized. NCBI's taxonomy places the organism in Eukaryota, Metazoa, Chordata, Actinopteri, Spariformes, Sparidae. The transcript has 2 exons. The record is from RefSeq and is a predicted model, not a curated record.
CAGAGACGAGACGGUUCAGAACUCAUUAGGCUCUCUGAGACAUUCUUAAUGAGUAAUUCAUCGCUGUGCCUGGUAAUUGUAAUCAGUUAGCAGAGGAUAAAGAGAGAGAGUCAAAAAAAAAAAAAAAAAAAACCCAGGAUAUUCAGACCAGGUGGUUCUAGUGUUGCUGUGAGCAAAAGCUCUCAUCAGACAUGACAUAUUGGCGACGACACUAAACACAGCUAAUUACAACUAAUGAGAGGCUUGGAAUGAUGUUGUCACCAGCUGGGAAACGCUGCCUCCACCUACAUCCAAUCCCAGUUUUUUCCCCCCUUCCAUUUUCCUCCGCCAAAGGUUUUAACGACGCUACGACUAAGUGGAACACGCUGGAAGGUCGUCAAAGCGGCGGCAUCAAUUUUUCGCCGAAUCCGAAAGAUGUUUGCAUGAGAAAACGGGAAGAAGCCGGGAAUUUAGUCGCAGGUGUUAUUAUGCACCGCUAGAAAGAAGGUGUGUGAGCCGAGCAGAUCGGGCGGGCGUCGCAUUCAGGAGCUCACUGCUGCUAUACUUUGCUCACUGGGUGCCCUGGAUCCGCCUGAUUCAGCAGUCUCAGCUGGUCUAUUCUCACUGUGGUGUGAUGGGAACCUGUGAAUUACAGCGGAAGGAGAUGUGAAGGUGAGAGGCUCCAUCGUGACGUGGCCGGCCUCUUUCUUUCGGAGCACUGAGAGCCCAUAUUCAACCAAUUUCAGCGAGAGUGAUGAUUAUUUGAAAGGAGGAGAAAGGCUUGGCCGAGAAACAAACAAACAAAAAUAAAAUCCCGGAUGUGACAUAAUAAACACUUUGGAAAGA